GAUGAACGCUAGCUACAGGCUUAACACAUGCAAGUCGAGGGGUAACGAGAGGAAAGCUUGCUUUCCUUGUCGACGACCGGCGCACGGGUGAGUAACGCGUGUCCAACCUGCCCCCAACUAGGGAAUAACCUUGCGAAAGUAAGACUAAUACCCUAUGAUUUCCUUUGAUGACAUCAGAUUAGGAAUAAAGAUUUAUCGGUUAUAGAUGGGGAUGCGUCUGAUUAGCUUGCUGGCGGGGUAACGGCCCACCAAGGCAACGAUCAGUAGGGGUUCUGAGAGGAAGGUCCCCCACAUUGGAACUGAGACACGGUCCAAACUCCUACGGGAGGCAGCAGUGAGGAAUAUUGGUCAAUGGGCGAAAGCCUGAACCAGCCAAGUAGCGUGCAGGAUGACGGCCCUAUGGGUUGUAAACUGCUUUUAUACAGGAAUAAAGUUAGCCACGUGUGGUUAUUUGUAGGUACUGUAUGAAUAAGGACCGGCUAAUUCCGUGCCAGCCGCCGCAGUAA
This 506-nucleotide ribosomal RNA is filed under the name uncultured bacterium. RNAcentral describes it as "partial 16S ribosomal RNA". It matches the Rfam family "Bacterial small subunit ribosomal RNA", at positions 28 to 523 of the family's 1533-position model. The record is from RNAcentral.